RNAcentral lists this long non-coding RNA (746 nucleotides) under Trifolium pratense (red clover). Its description in RNAcentral is "long non-coding RNA (TPRA_LNC008625)". Lineage: Eukaryota; Viridiplantae; Streptophyta; Magnoliopsida; Fabales; Fabaceae. The record is from RNAcentral.
AUCUCAAAACUUGGAAUAAAGAUGUGCACAUUUUAAAAAGAAACUUGUCAUACCGCUUCAGUGUUUUUGUUGAUCUAAUCCAUUUUUAUUCUCUCUUACACAUUCUGGAGAUGUUCUUCACAUUUUUCAUAAACUUGGUUAAUAUACUUGAAGUGUUUUAUAACCUGUUUUUCUUUGAAUACAAGUGAAUCAUUGCUUGUGGAUUCAUAAAAAAUAUUUAUAUGGAGGAUGCAUGUCAGGUGUUAUUUACUUCAAGGUCAUCCCAUCAUAAGUUUUUAUAUUCACAAUUAUGUUUAUGAUCAUGAUGUUCCCAAGCAGUAUAUUAUGCAUGGUUAUGCAUGGUUGAAGAGGACACUUUUGUUUUAAAUUGAUUGUUAAUCUAUACGGCUCAUGCCAUUUUGAUAAAAUGCUCAAGAACACGAACGAAAACAUCAUCAGACCAUUUGCCAACUUGAUUGUCCAUAAACCAGGUGACAUCGUUCCAAAUCUCUUGGGGAAAAUUUCACAUGACUGAAUUAUGUUUACGUCUCCACUAAUCAUGAUAGAUUAUUUUAAGCACCUCGCCCUUCAGGCCUCGGGGCUGUGGAUUGGGACUACAAGUAGAUAUGAUAAAGAGUGAUCAAAUAUACAACCAAGAAUAAACGAAGCCAGCCGGCUCUAGACCAAUAAAGGCUAACCGGUGAUGGAAUAAAGGUCAACCUGAUUAAGUUACGGGCUCUGAACCAACAACGAAAAAUUAAACAAGG